Dreissena polymorpha is the source of this 613-nucleotide long non-coding RNA. RefSeq lists it as uncharacterized. NCBI's taxonomy places the organism in Eukaryota, Metazoa, Mollusca, Bivalvia, Myida, Dreissenidae. The record is from RefSeq and is a predicted model, not a curated record. The transcript has 2 exons.
AGCAUACCAAAGUUAUAACAUGAAAUAAGAACUUUAACAUUUUUACAUUCAAGGUCACAGUGACCUUGACCUUCAAAUGAAUGACCUUGAAAUGUCCAGUGGUUACUUACUAGUUCUGGCCAACCUUCAUGUCAAGUUUCAAGACUCUAGGUCCAAGCAUACCAAAGUUAUAACAACUUUAACAUUUUUAUAUUGAAGGUCACAGUGACCUUCACCUUCAAAUGAAUGACCUUGAAAUGACCAGUGGUCAUCUGUUAAUCCUGGCCAACCUUCAUGUCAAGUUUGAAGACUCUAGGUCCAAGCAUACCAAAGUUAUACCAUGAAAUAAGAACUUUAACAUUUUUACAUUCAAGGUCACAGUGACCUUGACCUUCAAAUGAAUGACCUUGAAAUGACCAGUGGUUACUAACUAGUUAUGGCCAACCUUCAUGUCAAGUUUCAAGACUCUAGGUCCAAGCAUACCAAAGUUAUAACAACUUUAACAUUUUUUAUAUUGAAGGUCACAGUGACCUUGACCUUCAAAUGAAUGACCUUGAAAUGACCAGUGGUCAUCUGUUAAUCCUGGCCAACCUUCAUGUCAAGUUUGAAGACUCUAGGUCCAAGCAUACCAAAG